RNAcentral lists this ribosomal RNA (207 nucleotides) under uncultured bacterium. RNAcentral's name for it is "partial 16S ribosomal RNA". It matches the Rfam family "Bacterial small subunit ribosomal RNA", at positions 568 to 774 of the family's 1533-position model. The record is from RNAcentral.
CGCGCAGGCGGGUGGGGAAGUCGGGGGUGAAAUUCCGGGGCUCAACCCUGGAACGACUUUCGAAACUCCUCAUCUAGGGACCGGUAGAGGCCGGUGGAAUUCCCGGAGUAGCGGUGGAAUGCGUAGAGAUCGGGAAGAACACCAGUGGCGAAGGCGGCCGGCUGGGCCGGAUCCGACGCUGAGGCGCGAAAGCGUGGGGAGCAAACA